This 497-nucleotide ribosomal RNA is filed under the name uncultured bacterium. Its description in RNAcentral is "partial 16S ribosomal RNA". It matches the Rfam family "Bacterial small subunit ribosomal RNA", at positions 28 to 507 of the family's 1533-position model. The record is from RNAcentral.
GAUGAACGCUGGCGGCGUGCCUAAUACAUGCAAGUCGAGCGAACAGAUAAGGAGCUUGCUCCUUUGACGUUAGCGGCGGACGGGUGAGUAACACGUGGGUAACCUACCUAUAAGACUGGAAUAACUCCGGGAAACCGGGGCUAAUGCAGGAUAACAUGUUGAACCGCAUGGUUCUACAGUGAAAGGCGGCUUUGCUGUCACUUAUAGAUGGACCCGCGCCGUAUUAGCUAGUUGGUGAGGUAACGGCUCACCAAGGCAACGAUACGUAGCCGACCUGAGAGGGUGAUCGGCCACACUGGAACUGAGACACGGUCCAGACUCCUACGGGAGGCAGCAGUAGGGAAUCUUCCGCAAUGGGCGAAAGCCUGACGGAGCAACGCCGCGUGAGUGAUGAAGGUCUUCGGAUCGUAAAACUCUGUUAUUAGGGAUGAACAAAUGCGUAAGUAACUGUGCGCGUCUUGACGGUACCUAAUCAGAAAGCCACGGCUAACUACGUG